CCAUUUAUCACACGGUGAACAUUGUUACUGGCGGGAAAAUUUGGCCAAAGCAAAUUGUUUUAGAGAAAAUUAUAACAGACUGAGAAUUUAUUCAGCUGUUCCUAGAUUGUGCUGGAGAGUAUACUUUUUAUAAUCCUAGUAUCAGAAGAUUAUAUUAUGUGAACGUCUAGUUAAACCACAAACGCCGCAAGGGUUCAAGAGAACGUUU
Molecule: non-coding RNA, 208 nt
Organism: Cinara cedri
Lineage: Eukaryota; Metazoa; Arthropoda; Insecta; Hemiptera; Aphididae
Source: the annotation of a GenBank genome assembly